GACGAACGCUGGCGGCGUGCUUAACACAUGCAAGUCGAACGGAAAGGCCCUGCUUUUGUGGGGUGCUCGAGUGGCGAACGGGUGAGUAACACGUGAGUAACCUGCCCUUGACGUUGGGAUAACUUCAGGAAACUGGGGCUAAUACCGGCUAGGAGCUCCUGCUGCAUGGUGGGGGUUGGAAAGUUUAGGCGGUUGGGGAUGGACUCGCGGCUAAUCAGCUUGUUGGUGGGGUAGUGGCUUACCAAGGCUUUGACGGGUAGCCGGCCUGAGAGGGUGACCGGCGACAUUGGGACUGAGAUACGGACCAGAGUCCUACAGGAGGCAGCAGUGGGGAAUAUUGCACAAUGGGCGGAAGCCUGAUGCAGAAACGCCGCGUGCGGGAUGACGGCCUUCGGGUUGUAAACCGCUUUCGCCUGUGACGAAGCGUGAGUGACGGUAAUGGGUAAAGAAGCACCGGCUAACUACGUG
Molecule: ribosomal RNA, 468 nt
Filed under: uncultured bacterium
Lineage: Bacteria
Description: partial 16S ribosomal RNA
Rfam family: Bacterial small subunit ribosomal RNA
Source: RNAcentral